RNAcentral lists this long non-coding RNA (3800 nucleotides) under Coffea arabica (coffee). RNAcentral's name for it is "long non-coding RNA (CARA_LNC005424)". The record is from RNAcentral. Lineage: Eukaryota; Viridiplantae; Streptophyta; Magnoliopsida; Gentianales; Rubiaceae.
UUGAUAUGGCCGACCAACUCCACUCAAAGCCUCACCUUAUAUACCUUACACUACCACACACCACUAUAUCAUUCUCACUACAUCACAAUAUCACAACUUCAAUUUCCUUUCUGCCGUGAGAGUGAGGGAGCAGCAUAGGAAGUAUCGACUGGGUGAGAGAGAGAAAAAAAAAGGGCCGAGCUUCUUGUUUCUUUUCUUUUCUGUCCGUAAACCAGAGAGGGAAGAGGGGGACUUGGGAUUCGGUCUGUCUUCCAUCCGUGAGCUGGUGCAGAGCUUGAGACCAGAGUUCCUUCAUCCAGCCGCAAGCCAGAGCAAGGGAGAGAGGAAGAGAGAGCUAACGGUCUGCAUUUUUUUCUGGACAGCCGAGAGUGAGAAUUGCAGCUGCUAGUUGUGUGUUUUAGGCUUCAAGCUAAGGUAAAUUAUGGACUUAGAUGAAUUGUUUACGAGUUGAUGAAGCUGUCUAUACGCAUGCAUGUGGGUUUGUGAGGUUAGAUGAGGAAUUGAGACUUAAGAAAUCUGGUUUGGAAUGAAUUGAAGCUGCCGAAAGUUGAGCUGGAAUUUUGAGACUUUAAUUAGCUAAUCUGUGAUUAACUGAGCCUAGAUGUAUAUUUGACUAACUAAAAUUAGAUGAUUAAGCUUUGCAUGGAAUUAUUAGUCCGGCUAAGCAAGAGAAAUAAAAUAAAAAGAAACCAGCUUACCUGCAUGUUCAUCCGUGGCUAGCUGGACAGAUUUUUGGAUUUUUGGGAUGUUUGAAGCUGUUAUUUGAAUCUAAUUUUGAACUGGAAACGUUAAUUGGCUAGUUAAGAAAUUGCAUGCCGAAAUUGAGUACUUAAUAUCAUGUUUUAGCCGAGUAAAAAGUUGGAUUUAUGACCAAAUAGCUGCUGGAAAUUCUGUUUAGCCGAUGACAGAUUUAUUGUGGUGGAAUUAUUUGCCAAAAUUACAUGUUAAUUGUUUUAUUUCAUGUCGGAAAAUUUUGAUGGUGGGCUCUAUGAACUCCCACCCUUGGAUUGAUGAUGGAUAUAAUGCUAGUUUAGUGUUUAAAUAGGUAGAUUAAUGAUACCUAGCUGGUCUAGACUCCAAGAGAUGCAUAGUUCAAAAAUGUUCAGAUUUGCCCUGUUUUAAUCGCACCCUUUUUGCAAAAUUUUGAGGGUUUCAUGACUUGUAUAUCAUGUUGAUACGUUGAAUAUAUGGUGUACAAAGUUUCAUUGAAAAAUAUUGAGGUUUGGUUGGUCAAAUAAAUUGAUCUCACAAAGCUAGUAAAUAUGGAACUGUUUCCGUAAUGUUCUGACCAGCUUUCGUAUUUCGGCCAUAACUCUGUGCUCCAAAGUCAGAAUCGAGUGCCGUCAGCGGCAUUUGAAACUAAACAUCCCAGCCUUUCCAACGGUAUAAAAUGUAUGUCCUGGUUCCAUGUAUGUAAGCCGAACCAACCAUUUAAAGAUGACUAUUCCAUUUCUCUGUUUUACAAGAACGAAAUGCUGAGGCUGCAACUUGUGGCUUGAAUUCGAGCUAGUUGUGCACCGGAUUUCAAAAUGAUUCCUUCUGUGAAAUUAUAGAUUUAUGAAUGUAUUUCCCAACGCCUUAAACUAUGCCCAAUUCCGAGUCAAUUUGAGUGAUUUGUGAUCAAAAUACGGAACCUGCCCUGCUCUUGAAAACCCUGAUUUUUAGACAGAUUGGAUGCAAGGCUUGGUAUAGACUUGAUAAUUAAAUUUCUUGGAGUUAAACACCCACCAAAGGUACCAUGAAUGUUCUUUAGACUUCGCUAAACAAAUGAACCAUGUUUAGAGGAUUUUUCCCUUGGUCAAAAGUUUGGAAAAGGAAAUUUUUAUAUACAAGGCAGCUUUGCCUUAAAAUUUUGGAAACUUGAGUGAUUUUGUUAAGCAACUUUCCGUGCUUAUUUUUCUAUGAAAUUUGGUAGAGGGACAACCCUUAUAUGGUAAUAUUAUACUGCUAAUUAUGGGGUUAUUCCGAGACCGUUUCAUGGGUCAAGUAAAUUACCAAAGUUCGAGACUUGAUUUAACAAGAAACUUUUAGUAACUUUGAGCCCAUUUUUGACUAUCUUCCAUUUAGAAUCAUGGAAAAGUGUAUUCUAGAAACUUUUAGUACUUUGGAAGAGGUUUCCAACGCUACCAAGUUUUCCAAUUUUUGACAUGUAGAAGGUGAGAUACGAUCUUUCAAAGUAUCGUAUCAAAACUGAAAAUUUUCCGAAUUCCAUGGAAAUGGAGUUUUUCAAGUACUCCUUAUCCCUUCGAUAUUAUUCAAAUGUUUUAUCCUUGAUUUUCAUGAUGUAGACUUAAUUCCUCUUGUAUUUUGAAACCCCGCUUGAGAGUCUAGAUUUAGGAUAAUGAAGACUUGUUUCACGAGAUUUUUCCUAAAGUUGUACUAUGUUACGAUCUUCAUCAAUAGUAGGGAUUGUAAAUGAUAGAUUAGUACUAUUUGCUCAGGCGCACACAAGGACCCUUAAGAGGAUCUGACAGAGGACGCUUGAACUUCAAAUUGAACCUAUUGCCCUUAUUGCUAGGUGAGUGUCCCUGCUUGUUCUAUGCCUACUUGAUUAAAGUGCUUUCUUGACUUGAUAUGUGAUAAUUGGAAAAAUGGUUUUCUGAUCCAUCGAAGUGGGCAGUGUGUACUUUAUCGCACUAGCUCUUUCGAGUGGUGACUUGCUUGAAAUAUUUUCGUGAAUAUCCUGCUUGCACUAUCUACAUGCUGGACGCAACGUCGCUGAGUGAAUCCCUCGACUAGUCUAUAAUAACCUCAUGCUGGACGCAACGUCGCUGGGCGACCUCGACUAGUCUAUAAUAACCUCAUGAUGGACGCAACGUCGCUGGGUGAAUUCCUCGACUAGUCUAUACUAACCUCGUGUUGGAUGCAACGUCGUUGGGUGAAUCCCUCGACUAGUCUAUAAAAAGGUAUACUCGAGUAAUACCAAACUCUCUCGUGCGGCGUGCGAGCCCGGUUGGGGAAGUAAGUUGGCUGGAGCGUGUUAAGAAAAAAAAAUAAUGAAUCUACAUGGACUUUAGAUAGUGAAAGUAGAUGGAGGGUCAACUGCGGGUAAUUUUGAUCAAGCGCAAGGAAAAUGGCUCCUGAGAGCCCCUGUAUCCUACCCGUGCUGUUACACGCUUUCCUACUUGCUGAAUUUAAGUUGAAAUUACUAUUUUCUAAGUAAUUGAUUUGAUUGCAUGUUUUGGGCAUGAUAGAACGGUUAUUUGACGUAUUUUGCACUGUUAUUUUGUCCUAAUUUUGACUAUUCACGGUGCUAAGAACUGGAAUUUCACUCAUAUUCGACAUUUGUGUGAAUUGUAGGUGGUCGGCAUAAAAAAUGAUCUCGCGAGGCAAAUUUCCAGAAGACCUUUCAUUUCAGAGCGUGGCCACGCCUUGGAAGGUGGAUGAAACCGAAAGCCGGACUGCGGUCCACGUGAACCGCGAGAAGCAUAGGAUAAAAACUCCAAAAGGCUAGCUUUUGAAUUGGGCCAGACGUCUGAGAGUUCCUGGGGCGGCUAUAAAGAAAGGAAAAAGCAAGAUUCAAGGCAUCACUACUUUUAGCCUUAGUUUUACCUUUUUGCAAGAUUGGUCAGACGCUUUUGCUUUUCUUUUGUUUUCUUCUGCGGCGUUGGGUCAGACAUUGGAGACUUUCUCCCUUUCUGUAGUUUUUGCUUUUAUGCGACUCUGACUCCUGAAUUCGCUCCUUCCACCUUUGACAAUUCUCCGUUGGCUUUUGCUUUGUAAUUGCGGCUCCAAUACAAGACAGAGCCAGGUUUUUCAUUGAUUGUUUCCUCGAUUAAUUCAUCCUCCCCAAUUUCUGG